GGUUAGACGAAGAAUCUAAAUAGAAUAUUUUAUUUUUUAAUUAACAGUUAAUAACCCAGAGUAAACUUUCUUCUUUUUUUAGGUGAAAUUUAUACAAAGAAAAAGAAAGUCUUAAUUUAUUGUAAGGAAUUAAAAAGUGAAGAUAAAAAACCAGGAUUAGAUACCCUGUUAUUCUUCAUCAUAUUUAAUAGGGUAGUAAAAGUUGUUCUUCAAACCCAAAGAUUUUGGCGGCAUUUUAACUAAACAGAGGAGCUUGUCUUAUAAUCGAUAACCCCCGUUAAAUCUUACCUUUAUUUGUUUAGCUUGUAUACCUCCGUUGUCAGAUUACUCUAAAAGGAUGUUUUCUGUAAGAAUUAUUUUCUUACUUCAGGUCAAGGUGCAGUUUAUGUAAAGGCAUAGAUGAGCUACAAUUUUUAUAAAAAUACGAAUCUUAAAUUAAAAUUUGAUUGAAGGUGGAUUUGUUAGUAAACUUGUUUAAGGAAAAUAGGUUGAAUAUA
Molecule: ribosomal RNA, 497 nt
Filed under: Daphnia similis
Lineage: Eukaryota; Metazoa; Arthropoda; Branchiopoda; Diplostraca; Daphniidae
Description: partial 12S ribosomal RNA
Source: RNAcentral